RNAcentral lists this ribosomal RNA (443 nucleotides) under uncultured bacterium. Its description in RNAcentral is "bacterial SSU rRNA". It matches the Rfam family "Bacterial small subunit ribosomal RNA", at positions 338 to 795 of the family's 1533-position model. The record is from RNAcentral.
CCUACGGGUGGCUGCAGUGGGGAAUUUUCCGCAAUGGGCGCAAGCCUGACGGAGCAAUACCGCGUGAGGGAGGAAGGCUCUUGGGUCGUAAACCUCUUUUCUCAGGGAAGAACACAAUGACGGUACCUGAGGAAUCAGCAUCGGCUAACUCCGUGCCAGCAGCCGCGGUAAUACGGAGGAUGCAAGCGUUAUCCGGAAUGAUUGGGCGUAAAGCGUCCGUAGGUGGUUUUGUAAGUCCGUGGUUAAAGCGCGAAGCUCAACUUCGUAAGGGCCAUGGAAACUACAUAACUUGAGUAAAGUAGGGGUAGAGGGAAUUCCCAGUGUAGCGGUGAAAUGCGUAGAGAUUGGGAAGAACACCGGUGGCGAAAGCGCUCUACUGGACUUAAACUGACACUGAGGGACGAAAGCUAGGGGAGCGAAAGGGAUUAGAUACCCAUGUAGUC